Molecule: microRNA precursor, 70 nt
Filed under: Meleagrid alphaherpesvirus 1 (Turkey herpesvirus)
Lineage: Duplodnaviria; Heunggongvirae; Peploviricota; Herviviricetes; Herpesvirales; Orthoherpesviridae
Description: microRNA hvt-mir-H1 precursor
Gene: hvt-mir-H1
Source: miRBase by way of RNAcentral
CUUCGGGCACCGUUCAUCUCGGCGCGCCGAGCGCGCGCUAGCUGAUCGCGCAGGGAUGUCGGGCGCGCCG